This 329-nucleotide unclassified non-coding RNA is filed under the name soil metagenome. RNAcentral describes it as "partial contains 5.8S ribosomal RNA, internal transcribed spacer 2, and large subunit ribosomal RNA". The stretch from base 1 to 120 matches the Rfam family "5.8S ribosomal RNA", at positions 35 to 154 of the family's 154-position model. The record is from RNAcentral.
GAUGAAGAACGUAGUGAAAUGCGAUAAUUAAUGUGAAUUGCAGAAUUUAGUGAAUCAUCGAAUCUUUGAACGCACAUUGCGCCCCUUGGUAUUCCGGGGGGCAUGCCUGUUCGAGCGUCAUUUCAACCCUCAAGCUCUGCUUGGUCUUGGGCCGCGCCGGCAACGGCGGGCCUCGAAAACAGUGGCGGCGCCAUCUGGUCCCUCAGCGUAGUAAUUCUUCUCGCUGCUGGGCCCCGGUGGCCGCUUGCCAGCAACCCCAAACUUUCUAUGGUUGACCUCGGAUCAGGUAGGGAUACCCGCUGAACUUAAGCAUAUCAAUAAGCGGAGGA